Molecule: long non-coding RNA, 1147 nt
Filed under: Capsicum annuum
Lineage: Eukaryota; Viridiplantae; Streptophyta; Magnoliopsida; Solanales; Solanaceae
Description: long non-coding RNA (CANN_LNC019889)
Source: RNAcentral
AACCAUGUUCUUGCGAAUUAUUCCAACUAGACUGAUUCCCCUUAAAUGCUACAUUAUUAGAAUUAUUAUUAUCUUCACCAUCAUUAGUCCAGCUGCCAGAUCGUCCUUGAUUAAAGGAUCUUCCUCGACCACUUUCAUCUCGACCUCCUCGCCAACCACCUCGUCCUCUCCUGCCACCUGAUCCACGACCUCCAUCAAAUUCUCUUGGCCUUCCCCAGCUCCCUUCUUGGUCUGUACCACCACCAUUGUUCCCACUCUCACCUUUCCAACCACCAAACGUACCACUUGGCUUUUUCCAACUUUCAUUUUGAUCAGACCCUUUUGACUCCUCGGUGGUUUGAUCCACCGGCUUACCCCAAGAUGAACCCCCUGCAGCUUGUUUACCCCAAGAAGACCCACCAUCCUGUUUGCCCCAAGUAGAUCCACUAUCUUCGCCCCCACCAGACCCAGCUUCUUUCUUAUUCCAAGCUGAUCCACCACUUCCUUUGUCCCAUAACGUAACUCCAGCUUGCUUGGUGAAAGAUACAUCAUCCUUUUUAUUCCAUGAAGUACCAUCAUUUGGCUUGCUCCAAGAGGUUUUGCUGUCGUCAGCCUUGCUCCAGCUAGAUCCACCAUCUUGCUUUUUCCAGUCGUUCUCUGCCUUCGUAUCUGAUUGCUUAACCCCCCAAGAGGAUCCACCUUCACCUUCAUUCUUCUUCCAAGAAGAUCCAGCAUCCUGCUGGCUCCACGAGGUUUUGCUAUCUGUCUGAUUUGAUCCACCAUCUUGCUUUUUCCAUCCAGUUUCUGCAUUUGCAUCAGAUUGCUUACCCCAAGAAGAUCCACCCGCUUGCUUACUCAAAGAAGAGCCACCAUCAUUUUUAUUCCAAGAAGAUCCGGCUCCCUGCUGACUCCACGAGGUUUUGCUAUCUGUCUUGUCCGAACCACCAUCUUGUUUAUUCCAGUCAGUCUUUGCAUCAGAUUGCUUUCCCCGAGAAGAUCCACCAUCCUGCUUGCCCCACGAGGUUUCUUGAUGUGAUUCAACCUUUUUGCCCCAGCCAUCAGACGCACCACUAGUGACACCAGCAGUAGAAGCAGCUUUCCCCCAACCAUCAUCUUGCCCAGAGCCAGUGUUCUCUUGAUGUGAUUCAACCUUUUUUCCCCAGCCAUC